AGGGAAUAGAUACCCUGGUAGUCCCAGCUGUAAACGAUGCAGACUCGGUGAUGAGUUGGCUACAUGCCAUCUCAGUGCCGCAGGGAAGCCGUUAAGUUUGCCGCCUGGGGAGUACGGUCGCAAGACUGAAACUUAAAGGAAUUGGCGGGGAGCACCACAAGGGGUGAAGCCUGCGGUUCAAUUGGAGUCAACGCCGGAAAUCUUACCGGGGGCGACAGCAGUAUGAAGGUCAAGCUGAAGACUUUACCAGACAAGCUGAGAGGAGGUGCAUGGCCGUCGCCAGCUCGUGCCGUGAGGUGUCCUGUUAAGUCAGGUAA
Molecule: ribosomal RNA, 317 nt
Filed under: uncultured bacterium
Lineage: Bacteria
Description: bacterial SSU rRNA
Rfam family: Archaeal small subunit ribosomal RNA
Source: RNAcentral